This 465-nucleotide ribosomal RNA is filed under the name Vreelandella stevensii. Its description in RNAcentral is "partial 16S ribosomal RNA". It matches the Rfam family "Bacterial small subunit ribosomal RNA", at positions 338 to 795 of the family's 1533-position model. Lineage: Bacteria; Pseudomonadati; Pseudomonadota; Gammaproteobacteria; Oceanospirillales; Halomonadaceae. The record is from RNAcentral.
CCUACGGGCGGCUGCAGUGGGGAAUAUUGGACAAUGGGGGGAACCCUGAUCCAGCCAUGCCGCGUGUGUGAAGAAGGCCCUCGGGUUGUAAAGCACUUUCAGUGAGGAAGAACGCCUGGUGGUUAAUACCCAUCAGGAAAGACAUCACUCACAGAAGAAGCACCGGCUAACUCCGUGCCAGCAGCCGCGGUAAUACGGAGGGUGCGAGCGUUAAUCGGAAUUACUGGGCGUAAAGCGCGCGUAGGUGGCUUGAUAAGCCGGUUGUGAAAGCCCCGGGCUCAACCUGGGAACGGCAUCCGGAACUGUCAAGCUAGAGUGCAGGAGAGGAAGGUAGAAUUCCCGGUGUAGCGGUGAAAUGCGUAGAGAUCGGGAGGAAUACCAGUGGCGAAGGCGGCCUUCUGGACUGACACUGACACUGAGGUGCGAAAGCAUGGGUAGCAAACAGGAUUAGAUACCCCAGUAGUC